CGCGGUGAAUACGUUCCCGGACCUUGUACACACCGCCCGUCAAGCCAUGGAAGCUGGGUGUACCUAAAGUCGGUAACCGCAAGGAGCCGCCUAGGGUAAAACUAGUAACUGGGGGCU
This 117-nucleotide ribosomal RNA is filed under the name uncultured bacterium. RNAcentral describes it as "partial 16S ribosomal RNA". It matches the Rfam family "Bacterial small subunit ribosomal RNA", at positions 1358 to 1482 of the family's 1533-position model. The record is from RNAcentral.